Molecule: transfer RNA, 77 nt
Filed under: Actinomycetes bacterium
Lineage: Bacteria; Bacillati; Actinomycetota; Actinomycetes
Also listed under: 4 other names
Description: tRNA-Ile
Rfam family: tRNA
About the family: Transfer RNA (tRNA) molecules are approximately 80 nucleotides in length.
Source: RNAcentral
GGGCCUGUAGCUCAGGCGGUUAGAGCGCAUCCCUGAUAAGGAUGAGGUCCCAGGUUCAAGUCCUGGCAGGCCCACCA